AUUGAACGCUGGCGGCAUGCCUUACACAUGCAAGUCGAACGGCAGCAUGAUCUAGCUUGCUAGAUUGAUGGCGAGUGGCGAACGGGUGAGUAAUACAUCGGAACGUGCCCUGUAGUGGGGGAUAACUAGUCGAAAGAUUAGCUAAUACCGCAUACGACCUGAGGGUGAAAGUGGGGGACUGCAAGGCCUCAUGCUAUAGGAGCGGCCGAUGCCUGAUUAGCUAGUUGGUGAGGUAAAGGCUCACCAAGGCGACGAUCAGUAGCUGGUCUGAGAGGACGAUCAGCCACACUGGGACUGAGACACGGCCCAGACUCCUACGGGAGGCAGCAGUGGGGAAUUUUGGACAAUGGGCGAAAGCCUGAUCCAGCAAUGCCGCGUGUGUGAAGAAGGCCUUCGGGUUGUAAAGCACUUUUGUCCGGAAAGAAAUGGCUCUGGUUAAUACCUGGGGUCGAUGACGGUACCGGAAGAAUAAGGACCGGCUAACUACGUG
Molecule: ribosomal RNA, 490 nt
Filed under: uncultured bacterium
Lineage: Bacteria
Description: partial 16S ribosomal RNA
Rfam family: Bacterial small subunit ribosomal RNA
Source: RNAcentral